UCUCAGAUGGUAAAGCAUCUGCUUGCAAUGCGGAAGACCUGGGUUCAAUCCCUGGUUUGAGAG
This 63-nucleotide transfer RNA is filed under the name Ovis aries (sheep). It matches the Rfam family "tRNA". From Rfam's summary of the family: Transfer RNA (tRNA) molecules are approximately 80 nucleotides in length. The record is from Rfam by way of RNAcentral. Lineage: Eukaryota; Metazoa; Chordata; Mammalia; Artiodactyla; Bovidae.